CCUACGGGAGGCAGCAGUGGGGAAUAUUGGGCAAUGGGCGCAAGCCUGACCCAGCAACGCCGCGUGAAGGAAGAAGGCUUUCGGGUUGUAAACUUCUUUUAAGAGGGAAGAGCAGAAGACGGUACCUCUUGAAUAAGCCACGGCUAACUACGUGCCAGCAGCCGCGGUAAUACGUAGGGGGCAAGCGUUGUCCGGAUUUACUGGGGGUAAAGGGCGUGCAGCCGGGAAGACAAGUCAGAUGUGAAAUCCCGCGGCUCAACCGCGGAACUGCAUUGGAAACUGUUUUUCUUGAGUACCGGAGAGGUCAUCGGAAUUCCUUGUGUAGCGGUGAAAUGCGUAGAUAUAAGGAAGAACACCAGUGGCGAAGGCGGAUGACUGGACGGCAACUGACGGUGAGGCGCGAAAGCGUGGGGAGCAAACAGGAGUAGAUACCCGAGUAGUC
RNAcentral lists this ribosomal RNA (442 nucleotides) under uncultured bacterium. RNAcentral's name for it is "partial 16S ribosomal RNA". It matches the Rfam family "Bacterial small subunit ribosomal RNA", at positions 338 to 795 of the family's 1533-position model. The record is from RNAcentral.